GCUUGAUGAAUAAAAGUUGUAGUUCAAAGAAGUUUCUGGCAGAAUCUUGUAAGAGUACUGACAUCUAACUGAAUCCGAAAGUUGACUUGUAUCAAGAAGAGAUGGUGGAUUUUAGGGACAAGAAAGGGUCUGAAUUCACUGUCUCUAACUGUACCAACAACCUAGCUGAGACUUCGGAUAACGUGCUUCUUGCAACAUUAUAUGGAUUAACUGCUGACUGUUAAUUGCGUUGAUCAAUCUUUAAUAGAUAUUUUUGUAAAAUGACUACCUUCUGUUUAUGUGUUUCUCAAGUUCUUAGAUGGUGGAUGCAGGUAGUACUUGACUUGAAUAAAACUUUAAUUUGUGCAUAUGAGACAUCAAGUUUACCUGCCAUCAUUUGCACCCAGGCAACAGAGGCUGGGUUGAAGUGGUUUGAACUCGAAUGUGUUUCGUUGGAAAAGGUAAACUUUCUAAUUUAUACUAUUGAUAGAAUAUUCUAGGAAAUUUCUUUGAAAUCCA
RNAcentral lists this long non-coding RNA (498 nucleotides) under Capsicum annuum. Its description in RNAcentral is "long non-coding RNA (CANN_LNC004714)". The record is from RNAcentral. Lineage: Eukaryota; Viridiplantae; Streptophyta; Magnoliopsida; Solanales; Solanaceae.